GAUAUAACCCAGUGGUAGAGUGCUUGCUUAGCAUGCAUGAGGUCCUGGGUUCAGUACCCAUCACA
RNAcentral lists this transfer RNA (65 nucleotides) under Marmota monax (woodchuck). RNAcentral's name for it is "tRNA.Ala". Lineage: Eukaryota; Metazoa; Chordata; Mammalia; Rodentia; Sciuridae. The record is from RNAcentral.